This 719-nucleotide long non-coding RNA is filed under the name Gossypium barbadense (sea-island cotton). RNAcentral's name for it is "long non-coding RNA (GBAR_LNC018552)". The record is from RNAcentral. Lineage: Eukaryota; Viridiplantae; Streptophyta; Magnoliopsida; Malvales; Malvaceae.
CAGGGUUGAAAGUGCUAUUCAGGAGAGUUAAAAUAUGCUUUUGCAGUAGGGAAUGAAAUUUUCACUUUCUAAGUUUCGUGGAUUAAAAUGUUCUGACUUUGCUUAUUUUAAUCAUUUUUGUGCAGGUAUAUUUGUGAUUGAUUGUAUUGGAUAUCAAACGCAUGCCUAUUACUGCUGAUGGCCUUGACUGUAUGUUACGUUUACACCUUUGCGGCUUGAUGUUGGCAUUCUGGCUUUUGGAGGGAUUUCCCUCAUACAGUGCAUGAUGGUUCAACCUUAUUCAUUCUCAAAUCAUAUGGGCAUCUUCAGGCAGCUACAGGGUAGUGCUACAUGGCCAUGUAUAAAGGUGUACUGUUUGAGUUUUGCACAUGGAAGAACUGCUUCAUGCUAGUGUUUAGUAAUUGCCAUGUAUUUACAGCUUUGAUGGGGUGAAGAAAGGAAUUGGUAUCUUCUGCUCGGCUGCUCAUAAUAAAUGUGCUGAUGCUGUCUUUUUGAAUUAAAAUAAACAUCUUUGGUUUCAAGCCUGGUUUGCUGAAACUAAUGGAGAGUUUUGGGUAAGGUGAGUGAUCUUACUGCCUAAUUGCUUGGUUAAGCUACUUGCUAUAAUCUUUAUACUGACCAUGAAAUAACAUUAUUGUUUGACUUCCACUACAUCAGUUGCUCAAAACAUUUCUUUGGUGGACCCUGCUCUCAAUGAACUCCAUGAAUUUUUUUGGCUA